CUACGGGACGCUCCAGUGAGGAAUAUUGCACAAUGGGGGGAACCCUGAUGCAGCAACGCCGCGUGGAGGAUGACGCAUUUCGGUGUGUAAACUCCUUUUAUAUGUCAAGAAAAUGACGGUAGCAUAUGAAUAAGCACCGGCUAACUCCGUGCCAGCAGCCGCGGUAAUACGGAGGGUGCAAGCGUUACUCGGAAUCACUGGGCGUAAAGGACGCGUAGGCGGGUUGGAAAGUCAGGUGUGAAAUCCUACAGCUUAACUGUAGAACUGCACUUGAAACUUCUAAUCUAGAGUAUGGGAGGGGGAGAUGGAAUUAGUGGUGUAAGGGUAAUAUCCGUAGAUAUCACUAGGAAUACCUAAAGCGAAGGCGAUCUCCUGGAACAUUACUGACGCUAAGGCGUGAAAGCGUGGGGAGCAAACAGGAUUAGAUACCCGGGUAGUC
This 439-nucleotide ribosomal RNA is filed under the name uncultured bacterium. Its description in RNAcentral is "partial 16S ribosomal RNA". It matches the Rfam family "Bacterial small subunit ribosomal RNA", at positions 339 to 795 of the family's 1533-position model. The record is from RNAcentral.